RNAcentral lists this ribosomal RNA (520 nucleotides) under uncultured bacterium. Its description in RNAcentral is "bacterial SSU rRNA". It matches the Rfam family "Bacterial small subunit ribosomal RNA", at positions 120 to 674 of the family's 1533-position model. The record is from RNAcentral.
GGGAAUAUGCCUUUUGGUACGGAACAACUUUUGGAAACGAAAGCUAAUACCGUAUGGUCCCUUCGGGGUAAAGAUUUAUCGCCAAAAGAUUAGCCCGCACUAGAUUAGCUAGUUGGUGAGGUAACGGCUCACCAAGGCGACGAUCUAUAGCUGUUCUGAGAGGAAGAUCAGCCACACUGGGACUGAGACACGGCCCAGACUCCUACGGGAGGCAGCAGUUAGGAAUAUUGGACAAUGGGCGCAAGCCUGAUCCAGCCAUGCCGCGUGAACGAUGAAGGCCUUCGGGUUGUAAAGUUCUUUAGCCGAUGAUUAUAAUGACUGUAGUCGGAAAAUAAGCCCCGGCUAACUUCGUGCCAGCAGCCGCGGUAAUACGAAGGGGGCGAGCGUUAUUCGGAAUCACUGGGCGUAAAGCGUGCGUAGGCGGUCUUGUAAGUUAGGAGUGAAAGCCCAGGGCUUAACCUUGGAAUUGCUCUUAAAACUGCAAGGCUAGAAUCUCGGAGAGGAUAGCGGAAUUUCCAGU